This 1261-nucleotide ribosomal RNA is filed under the name uncultured Halomonas sp. RNAcentral's name for it is "bacterial SSU rRNA". It matches the Rfam family "Bacterial small subunit ribosomal RNA", at positions 142 to 1404 of the family's 1533-position model. Lineage: Bacteria; Pseudomonadati; Pseudomonadota; Gammaproteobacteria; Oceanospirillales; Halomonadaceae. The record is from RNAcentral.
GAUAACCUGGGGAAACCCAGGCUAAUGCCGCAUACGUCCUACGGGAGAAAGGGGGCUCCGGCUCCCGCUAUGGGAUGAGCCUAUGUCGGAUUAGCUAGUUGGUGAGGUAACGGCUCACCAAGGCCACGAUCCGUAGCUGGUCUGAGAGGAUGAUCAGCCACAUCGGGACUGAGACACGGCCCGAACUCCUACGGGAGGCAGCAGUGGGGAAUAUUGGACAAUGGGGGAAACCCUGAUCCAGCCAUGCCGCGUGUGUGAAGAAGGCCCUCGGGUUGUAAAGCACUUUCAGCGAGGAAGAACGCCUAACGGUUAAUACCCGCUAGGAAAGACAUCACUCGCAGAAGAAGCACCGGCUAACUCCGUGCCAGCAGCCGCGGUAAUACGGAGGGUGCAAGCGUUAAUCGGAAUUACUAGGCGUAAAGCGCGCGUAGGUGGCUUGAUAAGCCGGUUGUGAAAGCCCCGGGCUCAACCUGGGAACGGCAUCCGGAACUGUCAAGCUAGAGUGCAGGAGAGGAAGGUAGAAUUCCCGGUGUAGCGGUGAAAUGCGUAGAGAUCGGGAGGAAUACCAGUGGCGAAGGCGGCCUUCUGGACUGACACUGACACUGAGGUGCGAAAGCGCGGGUAGCAAACAGGAUUAGAUACCCUGGUAGUCCACGCCGUAAACGAUGUCGACCAGCCGUUGGGUGCCUAGCGCACUUUGUGGCGAAGUUAACGCGAUAAGUCGACCGCCUGGGGAGUACGGCCGCAAGGUUAAAACUCAAAUGAAUUGACGGGGGCCCGCACAAGCGGUGGAGCAUGUGGUUUAAUUCGAUGCAACGCGAAGAACCUUACCUACUCUUGGCAUCCUGCGAAUUUGGUAGAGAUACCUUAGUGCCUUCGGGAACGCAGAGACAGGUGCUGCAUGGCUGUCGUCAGCCCGUGUUGUGAAAUGUUGGGUUAAGUCCCGUAACGAGCGCAACCCUUGUCCUUAUUUGCCAGCGCGUAAUGGCGGGAACUCUAAGGAGACUGCCGGUGACAAACCGGAGGAAGGUGGGGACGACGUCAAGUCAUCAUGGCCCUUACGAGUAGGGCUACACACGUGCUACAAUGGUCGGUACAAAGGGUUGCCAACUCGCGAGAGUGAGCCAAUCCCGAAAAGCCGAUCUCAGUCCGGAUCGGAGUCUGCAACUCGACCCCGUGAAGUCGGAAUCGCUAGUAAUCGUGGAUCAGAAUGCCACGGUGAAUACGUUCCCCGGCCUUGUACACACCGCCCGUCACACCA